Non-coding RNA from Oncorhynchus mykiss (rainbow trout), 726 nucleotides. Lineage: Eukaryota; Metazoa; Chordata; Actinopteri; Salmoniformes; Salmonidae. The record is from RefSeq and is a predicted model, not a curated record.
AGGCCCAAACCAUGAUGCUGCCACCACCAUGUUUGACAGUGGGGAUGGUGUGUUCAAGAGUUCACGAUCAUAACGUGUGGCUUCAGUUGUUGAAAUGCGACACACUUUCAUUGUUGCUAUUGCUACGGCAACAAUAAUCAAAAGAACACAGUUUAUGUGGAGCCAGUUGACAACAAGAAAAAGACUGCCUUUGCCUCUUUUGAGGAGCUGGAGUGAAGCCAUUUUUGAGGAGUGGUCAAACCUUAUUUUUGUCUGCUGUGUUAAUUGUUUCAAUUGUUAAUUAUGUUUUUAUGUUUAGUAAGUCACCUGAGUCUCUCAUCUCUGUACUGGAGCUGGUAUAACUUAAUGUACAAAGCACAUUCAGCUUGUCAGUAUGUCUAUAUGGUAUAGUCUGUAUCCAUUCUCAUGAGGAAAGUAAAUAGCAUUAUAAUUCAGGAUAGGUAGUAACUGAAUAUAUAUGCUCAAUUAAAUAAUAUAAUUACAAAGUUAUAACACAAUUUUAACAGUACAUAACAUACAUAACAAGUAUGUUGUUCAUUGCAACAAUAUCAGUAGCUUGUCUCAAAUAUAGCAUGAAGCAAAAAGUGUUACAACACAUGUGCUGGUACCACUUUUUAUAAUAUUUCUUAAGAUCUUCAAAAAUGAAAUAUGUUUGUAUUCAACGUGUGCCUUGCACAAACGUGUGUGUCUGUAUUCAGUAUGGGACUGUCAAACUUCAGAUUGACA